RNAcentral lists this ribosomal RNA (525 nucleotides) under uncultured Pelagibacteraceae bacterium. Its description in RNAcentral is "bacterial SSU rRNA". It matches the Rfam family "Bacterial small subunit ribosomal RNA", at positions 527 to 1050 of the family's 1533-position model. The record is from RNAcentral. Lineage: Bacteria; Pseudomonadati; Pseudomonadota; Alphaproteobacteria; Candidatus Pelagibacterales; Candidatus Pelagibacteraceae.
GAAGGGACCUAGCGUAGUUCGGAAUUACUGGGCUUAAAGAGCUCGUAGGUGGUUAAAAAAGUUGAUGGUGAAAUCCCAAGGCUCAACCUUGGAACUGCCAUCAAAACUUUUUAGCUAGAGUGUGAUAGAGGUAAGUGGAAUUUCUAGUGUAGAGGUGAAAUUCGUAGAUAUUAGAAAGAACACCAAAUGCGAAGGCAACUUACUGGGUCACUACUGACACUGAGGAGCGAAAGCAUGGGUAGCGAAGAGGAUUAGAUACCCUCGUAGUCCAUGCCGUAAACGAUGUGUGUUAGACGUUGGAAAUUUAUUUUCAGUGUCGCAGCGAAAGCGAUAAACACACCGCCUGGGGAGUACGACCGCAAGGUUAAAACUCAAAUGAAUUGACGGGGACCCGCACAAGUAGUGGAGCAUGUGGUUUAAUUCGAAGAUACGCGCAGAACCUUACCAACACUUGACAUGUUCGUCGCGACUCUAAGAGAUUAGAGUUUUCGGUUCGGCCGGACGAAACACAGGUGCUGCAUGGCU